GGCUGGUCCAAUGGUAGUGGGCUAUCAGAACUUAUUAACACUAGUGUCACUAAAGUUGGUAUACAAUCCCCCACUGCUAAAUUUGACUGGCUUUAA
Molecule: Y RNA, 96 nt
Organism: Callithrix jacchus (white-tufted-ear marmoset)
Lineage: Eukaryota; Metazoa; Chordata; Mammalia; Primates; Cebidae
Rfam family: Y RNA
About the family: Y RNAs are components of the Ro ribonucleoprotein particle (Ro RNP), in association with Ro60 and La proteins. The Y RNAs and Ro60 and La proteins are well conserved, but the function of the Ro RNP is not known. In humans the RNA component can be one of four small RNAs -- hY1, hY3, hY4 and hY5.
Source: Ensembl